GGGUUGUGGCUCAGUGGUAGAGCACUCACUCGCCUAGCAUGCAUGAGGCACUGGAUUCGAUCCCCAGCACCCA
This 73-nucleotide transfer RNA is filed under the name Marmota monax (woodchuck). RNAcentral describes it as "tRNA.Ala". Lineage: Eukaryota; Metazoa; Chordata; Mammalia; Rodentia; Sciuridae. The record is from RNAcentral.